RNAcentral lists this ribosomal RNA (492 nucleotides) under uncultured bacterium. RNAcentral's name for it is "partial 16S ribosomal RNA". It matches the Rfam family "Bacterial small subunit ribosomal RNA", at positions 29 to 507 of the family's 1533-position model. The record is from RNAcentral.
AGUGAACGCUGGCGGUAGGCCUAACACAUGCCAGUCGAACGGCAGCACAGUAAGAGCUUGCUCUUACGGGUGGCGAGUGGCGGACGGGUGAGGAAUACAUCGGAAUCUACUUUUUCGUGGGGGAUAACGUAGGGAAACUUACGCUAAUACCGCAUCCGACCUACGGUUGAAAGAAGGGGAUCUUCGGACCUUGCGCGAUUGAAUGAGCCGAUGUCGGAUUAGCUAGUUGGCGGGGUAAAGGCCCACCAAGGCGACGAUCCGUAGCUGGUCUGAGAGGAUGAUCAGCCACACUGGAACUGAGACACGGUCCAGACUCCUACGGGAGGCAGCAGUGGGGAAUAUUGGACAAUGGGCGCAAGCCUGAUCCAGCCAUACCGCGUGGGUGAAGAAGGCCUUCGGGUUGUAAAGCCCUUUUGUUGGGAAAGAAAAGCAGCAGGUUAAUACCCCGCUGUUCUGACGGUACCCAAAGAAUAAGCACCGGCUAACUUCGUG